This 380-nucleotide ribosomal RNA is filed under the name uncultured eukaryote. RNAcentral's name for it is "partial 18S ribosomal RNA". It matches the Rfam family "Eukaryotic small subunit ribosomal RNA", at positions 592 to 976 of the family's 1831-position model. The record is from RNAcentral.
CAAUAGCGUAUAUUAAAGUUGUUGCAGUUAAAAAGCUCGUAGUUGGAUUUGUGGCGUACGGUGUGUUCCGGGCACUUGUUGCCUGAGUAACCUGCUGUUGCCAUCCUUGGGUGGAACCUGUGUGGCAUUAGGUUGUCGUGCAGGGGAUGCCCAUCAUUUACUGUGAAAAAAUUAGAGUGUUCAAAGCAGGCUCAUGCCGUUGAAUAUAUUAGCAUGGAAUAAUGAGAUAGGACUUUUUUGCUAUUUUGUUGGUUUGCGCAAAGAGGUAAUGAUUAAUAGGGACAGUUGGGGGUAUUCGUAUUCCAUUGUCAGAGGUGAAAUUCUUGGAUUUUUGGAAGACGAACUACUGCGAAAGCAUUUACCAAGGAUGUUUUCAUUAA